CCCUACGGGACGCAGCAGUGGGGAAUAUUGCACAAUGGGCGAAAGCCUGAUGCAGCAACGCCGCGUGAAGGAAGAAGGGUCUCGGCUCGUAAACUUCUAUCCACAGGGACGAAAGAAAUGACGGUACCUGGGGAGGAAGCUCCGGCUAACUACGUGCCAGCAGCCGCGGUAAUACGUAGGGAGCGAGCGUUGUCCGGAAUUACUGGGUGUAAAGGGAGCGUAGGCGGGACUGCAAGUUGGGUGUCAAAUCUACCGGCUCAACCGGUAGCCGCACUCAAAACUGCAGUUCUUGAGUGAAGUAGAGG
This 305-nucleotide ribosomal RNA is filed under the name uncultured bacterium. RNAcentral describes it as "bacterial SSU rRNA". It matches the Rfam family "Bacterial small subunit ribosomal RNA", at positions 337 to 657 of the family's 1533-position model. The record is from RNAcentral.